UCCGUGUUGGUGUAGGGGUCAACAUUGCUGCCUCUCACUCUUACGUAAUCAGUGCCUAUUACGUAAUGUGGUCGCAGCAGCCCGGGGUUCGAUUCCCCGACACGGAA
Molecule: non-coding RNA, 107 nt
Organism: Mycena sp. CBHHK59/15
Lineage: Eukaryota; Fungi; Basidiomycota; Agaricomycetes; Agaricales; Mycenaceae
Source: the annotation of a GenBank genome assembly